GGGCCUAUAGUUCAGUGGUAGAACACGGCAUUCGCAUUGCCGGGACGCCGGUCCGAUUCCGGCUAGGUCCA
Molecule: transfer RNA, 71 nt
Filed under: bacterium
Lineage: Bacteria
Description: tRNA-Ala
Rfam family: tRNA
About the family: Transfer RNA (tRNA) molecules are approximately 80 nucleotides in length.
Source: RNAcentral